UAGGGAAUAUUGGGCAAUGGGCGAAAGCCUGACCCAGCCAUGCCGCGUGCAGGAUGAAGGUUCUAUGAAUUGUAAACUGCUUUUGUCUGGGACGAAUAAGCUCCUUUCUAGGAGAAUUGACGGUACCAGAAGAAUAAGCACCGGCUAACUACGUGCCAGCAGCCGCGGUAAUACGUAGGGUGCAAGCGUUAUCCGGAUUUACUGGGUUUAAAGGGUGCGUAGGUGGAUAAAUAAGUCAGUGGUGAAAUCUUUCGGCUUAACCGAGAAACUGCCAUUGAAACUGUCUAUCUUGAGUAUGGUUAAGGCAAGUGGAAUAUAACAUGUAGCGGUGAAAUGCUUAGAUAUGUUGUAGAACACCAAUUGUGAAGACAGCUUGCUGGACCAUCACUGACACUGAGGCACGAAAGCGUGGGUAGCGAACAGG
Molecule: ribosomal RNA, 424 nt
Filed under: uncultured bacterium
Lineage: Bacteria
Description: bacterial SSU rRNA
Rfam family: Bacterial small subunit ribosomal RNA
Source: RNAcentral